This 2042-nucleotide long non-coding RNA is filed under the name Capsicum annuum. Its description in RNAcentral is "long non-coding RNA (CANN_LNC014843)". Lineage: Eukaryota; Viridiplantae; Streptophyta; Magnoliopsida; Solanales; Solanaceae. The record is from RNAcentral.
CCCACCACUAAUAGAUAUACAUACAAAAAGGGACUGGAAUACAAUUACACACCAUAACCAUAAGCAUACACCACAUUCUGAUACACGUUUCAUCAACACACGGACGCCAAAUACAGAGAGAUCUGAAGAAACACAGGAUUCUUUAUUUCCAUUAUUUUUUCUUCCUUUCUUGGCGUACACACGACACACACAAAUCCUUACUCUCUCAACACACAUAUGGACACACACAUGCAUAGAUUGGAGAUGGGGGAGCUGGACGGAGAUAAAACCAGAUAGAGGGAAAGGUUUGAGCGUGAGAGAGGGAAUCAAAAAGAUCGAUAGGUUUGAGAGAGACAGAGAGCUUAGCGAUUGAGAGAGAACGGCGAGAAGAGGUCUGUUCUAGCGACCAGCUCUUAUCAGAGCUCUGAAAAAUAGCCAAAAUCGAUGACUAACACUGUUGAAACAACAAAAAUCGGUGACCGAACCUGAUCUGUUUCUGCCUGAUUUCGACGAGAUCUGCCGAAAAAUGAGAAAAAAGGUAAAGUGAUUCUGUUUCUUUGUAGUAUUCUAUUCUGAUUGGUUAGUUCGCAAUUUUGAUUGAGUUGGAAGGUCCACAUUGAUUUCAUUGAGCCGAGGUCCUAAUUUUGUUGGCUCCAUCGAAUAAUUUGGGUAUUGAAAUAAAAAUUGAAGUCCGAUUCUUCAACUCUAUCUCUUUUAUUUUUACCUCAAUAUGAUAUGUUGAUGUUGUGAUUCGUAUGAUUCGUGUUGGGUUGAUGAUAUGAUCUUGAUUGCGUGGUUGAGUAAUUCUAAUUGUUUUGGUUGAUUCUAUGUUUGGUUAAUUAAUCAGGAAUGAUUUGAACUUAUUUGGAGUAAAUUUUAAUUUGGGGAGGCGUAGAUAUUUAUAUUUGUGGACGUGAAUUUAUUUUGAUUCCUUGUUAGUGGUUUGAUUUGAAAUAAAUAUUGAUAUUGUUGAACAUGAUAGUAUCAUGAUAGGUCGAGUUGGGUAGGAAAAUGAUAGGCUCGGGUAGGCAAUUUCAGGACUCGUGAAAUAUUGAAUGCUUGAAAUAUGUGUUGAAUGGCUUAGUUUCAUUGCUUUUGAAUUCAAUAAAUCAUUUGGCCAGGGAAUGCCCCGAGGUUUCGUGUAUUUAUUCACCGGGGAAUGCCCCGACGUAUUAUGUCUUCGAAGGAGGCUCGUGAUCAAGGCCCAAGGCAUUGGGUAAAGCAUUGGAGUGUAGUUUAGGAUUAUUUUAGAAUAACGUAGGUUUAUAUUUUUUUGUAUUUUCUUUUUGGACUGGACAUUAUAUUUUAGAUUGUUUUGUCAUGUUUGUGUGAUUGAUUAUUUUUAUGCUUUGUGUGGUUUAUACAUUCAUCAUGCCAAAUUAGCCGAUAUUCUCCACCAAGUGACCGCGAUCAAAAUACGGGACCGAGGGAUGCCUAACACCUUCCCCUCGGUCAACAGAAUUCCUUAACUGGAAUCUCGUUCGCAAAUCAGUUUUUAAAGAGCCAAAAACCAUUUCGAAAAGGAUUUUCAAAGGUGACUUGGCACUCCGGAUUAUGUCAAGUGGCGACUCUGAAUAAAAAAUGUAAAUAAUCUUUUUUCGAAAUAAAUUUUUAAUAGUUUGUCACUUUACUAAUAAAAACCCUUUCGAACCUUAAAAUAUAAUCUUUUCGGUUAAAAAAGGAGGUGUGACACUCACUUCUAUUGUGCCCUUUUGGAGCAAAUCCUGGUUUGAGUUUGCCUCAUGAUGGUUGAUUUGGACUACCUUUGGAGCUAUUUAAGGUAGCGUUUGGAUUCUUGCUUCCGGAGUUGACUACUAUCUUUCUUUAUUUAGACUAUGUCUUUAUUCAUAUCCAGAGACAGAGUAUUCCUAAUUUGGAUAUCUUAUCUAUUUGAUCACAAGUUGUACUAGUGAUGUUCUUACAUUGUGACACCAGAUUUUAAGAUUAUGGUAUUGUUAGUUAUGUCUUUCCACUUUACUAUAUUAUGUGGUUCGACUUCAUUCUAGAAGUCCUACUUGAUUUAUUUGAUAUUAUUUUUUAUUUUGUUUCAGUUUGUGUGAUAG